RNAcentral lists this ribosomal RNA (253 nucleotides) under uncultured bacterium. RNAcentral's name for it is "partial 16S ribosomal RNA". It matches the Rfam family "Bacterial small subunit ribosomal RNA", at positions 524 to 776 of the family's 1533-position model. The record is from RNAcentral.
UACGGGGGGGGCAAGCGUUGUUCGGAAUUACUGGGCGUAAAGGGCUCGUAGGUGGUCAACUAAGUCGGACGUGAAAUCCCUCGGCUUAACCGGGGAACUGCGUCCGAUACUGGAUGACUUGAGUUCGGGAGAGGGAUGCGGAAUUCCAGGUGUAGCGGUGAAAUGCGUAGAUAUUGGGAGGAACACCAGUGGCGAAGGCGGCUACCUGGACCGGUUCUGACGCUGAGGCGCGAAAGCGUGGGUAGCAAACAGG